RNAcentral lists this ribosomal RNA (253 nucleotides) under uncultured bacterium. RNAcentral describes it as "partial 16S ribosomal RNA". It matches the Rfam family "Bacterial small subunit ribosomal RNA", at positions 524 to 776 of the family's 1533-position model. The record is from RNAcentral.
UACGUAGGGGGCAAGCGUUGUCCGGAAUCAUUGGGCGUAAAGCGCGCGUAGGCGGCCCUUUAAGUCCGCUGUGAAAGUCAAAGGCUCAACCUUUGAAAGCCGGUGGAUACUGCAGGGCUAGAGUCCGGAAGAGGCGAGUGGAAUUCCUGGUGUAGCGGUGGAAUGCGCAGAUAUCAGGAGGAACACCAAUAGCGAAGGCAGCUCGCUGGGACGGUACUGACGCUAAGGCGCGAAAGCGUGGGGAGCGAACAGG